This 548-nucleotide ribosomal RNA is filed under the name Syphacia obvelata. Its description in RNAcentral is "partial large subunit ribosomal RNA". The record is from RNAcentral. Lineage: Eukaryota; Metazoa; Nematoda; Chromadorea; Rhabditida; Oxyuridae.
UAUUUUUUAUUGUAAUUUUAUUAUUGUUGGUUUGAUAGUAUCUGUAGGGGGUUUAAUAACUUGUAUUUUUGGUUGUUGGCGGUUAUGUUAAUGCUUGAGUUUAUGCAUUUGUAGAAUUAAUAAUUUAGUAGAUUAUUUUUAAUUGAGUUUUAUGUUUAUAAUUUUUUUAGAUAACUAAAAUUAGGUUCAAAUGUUUUUUAAAGACUUAGGCUUUUGUUUGAAGUUGUCUUCUGCUCUAUGAGUUUUUAAAUGGCAGCCUUAGCGGGAGGGUAUUAAGGUAGCAUAAUAAUUUGUGUCUUUAAUGGGCUCUAGUAUGAAUGGAGGAAAUGGAUCUUAAUUUUCUUUUAUUUGUUUUGAAUUAUGGGUUUAACUAAAAAUUGUUGGGUUUAAUUAUACUAAGAUAAGUCUUCGGAAAUUUUUUUUUUAUGUUCUUUAGGGUAAAGUUUUUGUGUAAAUUGUGAAACUAGAAGGUAUAUAUUAAAAUUACUUCGGAGUUAACAGAAUAAUAUUUUUUAUAUAGUUGUUAUAUUAGAAAAAAUAUUACAUCG